This 468-nucleotide ribosomal RNA is filed under the name uncultured bacterium. Its description in RNAcentral is "bacterial SSU rRNA". It matches the Rfam family "Bacterial small subunit ribosomal RNA", at positions 329 to 793 of the family's 1533-position model. The record is from RNAcentral.
UGCCAGACUCCUACGGGAGGCAGCAGUGAGGAAUAUUGGUCAAUGGGCGGAAGCCUGAACCAGCCAAGUCGCGUGAGGGAUUAAGGCCCUAUGGGUCGUAAACCUCUUUUGUCAGGGAGCAAUGGCGUCCACGUGUGGGCGUAUGGAGAGUACCUGAAGAAAAAGCAUCGGCUAACUCCGUGCCAGCAGCCGCGGUAAUACGGAGGAUGCGAGCGUUAUCCGGAUUUAUUGGGUUUAAAGGGUGCGUAGGUGGUUAAUUAAGUCAGCGGUGAAAGUUUGUGGCUCAACCAUAAAAUUGCCGUUGAAACUGGUUGACUUGAGUAUAUUUGAGGUAGGCGGAAUGCGUGGUGUAGCGGUGAAAUGCAUAGAUAUCACGCAGAACUCCGAUUGCGAAGGCAGCUUACUAAACUAUAACUGACACUGAAGCACGAAAGCGUGGGGAUCAAACAGGAUUAGAUACCCCGGUAA